This 298-nucleotide long non-coding RNA is filed under the name Gallus gallus (chicken). RNAcentral's name for it is "long non-coding RNA NONGGAT004631". Lineage: Eukaryota; Metazoa; Chordata; Aves; Galliformes; Phasianidae. The record is from RNAcentral.
AGGCGACAUGGUUUCACAGUGAUGCCUUGCUCCAUUUGGAGACUGGACUGGAGGCUUGUGGAGGCAUUUCAGAUCCUGUCAGCAACCUGGAGAGGGAAAAAUCAUCAUUAGCUGGAGCAGGAGGCAGCAGCAUCUAAUGUGGAUACUGUAAGCUGGGAAACAUGGUGGAUGCUCUGGUAAAGCUGGAGAGAUCAUCGUAAGAGACUUGUGGUACUGACUACAUCUGAGACCAAGACUGAUGCACACUCAGCACUCAUCAUACUUAUUUCGGCCUACAUCUUGAUAUCCAGGAAGGUUU